CACACCGCCCGUCACACCAUGGGAGUUGGAUUCACUCGAAGGCGUUGAGCUAACCGCAAGGAGGCAGGCGACCACAGUGGGUUUAGCGACUGGGGUG
This 97-nucleotide ribosomal RNA is filed under the name uncultured bacterium. RNAcentral describes it as "partial 16S ribosomal RNA". It matches the Rfam family "Bacterial small subunit ribosomal RNA", at positions 1386 to 1482 of the family's 1533-position model. The record is from RNAcentral.